Molecule: ribosomal RNA, 383 nt
Filed under: Saxifraga sedoides
Lineage: Eukaryota; Viridiplantae; Streptophyta; Magnoliopsida; Saxifragales; Saxifragaceae
Description: 5.8S ribosomal RNA
Rfam family: 5.8S ribosomal RNA (bases 225-380)
Source: RNAcentral
GUGCCUCCCUCGCGAACACCCUUGGUUUCCCGACAACGUCGGGGCGGCUUGGCGCUCUUAUCUCCCGACGACGUAAAACUCGCUAGGGCUGAUAGACGCCGGGCUAAACCAACGGAACAAAAAACCGGCGUGAAAUGCGCCAAGGAACAUGAAAGAGAGUGGGCUCUUCUGGUGUCAGCACUGCUGCGCCGGGACGGGCGUUGUCUUCUUGAUGAGUUUAUAAUGACUCUCGGCAACGGAUAUCUCGGCUCUUACAUCGAUGAAGAACGUAGCAAAAUGCGAUACUUGGUGUGAAUUGCAGAAUCCCGUGAACCAUCGAGUCUUUGAACGCAAGUUGCGCCCGAAUCCUUUUGGUCGAGGGCACGUCUGCCUGGGUGUCACGU